AUGAUUUUUUUUAGUUUCAUUAAUUCUUUUCUUUUUCUUUCUUUAGAAAUUGUUCUGUAAUUCUUCAAUUAUUGAUAUUCGUUAAUCCGUUUACCAUUUCUGUCAAGGAAUUUCUCUGUUGCAAUAUCAAGUUUUGAUGUGAAGUUCGCGAGAUGAUUAAAUCCUCCAAUGAUCUAAGUUUGUUAGGAACUAUCAUUUCUUCCAAGGUUUAACUACAUAUUGAUAAGCCAUCGGUGCGGGCAACCUGGGGUGGCGG
This is a long non-coding RNA of Gossypium arboreum, 256 nucleotides long. RefSeq lists it as uncharacterized. The record is from RefSeq and is a predicted model, not a curated record. The transcript is spliced from 3 exons. NCBI's taxonomy places the organism in Eukaryota, Viridiplantae, Streptophyta, Magnoliopsida, Malvales, Malvaceae.